UCAAUAUUGGUAAACUUCAAAUUUACACCAUGACAUGUGCACUUAUCAAUAAACUUCAGGUUUAUUAUGACAUGGGUUUUUAUACCAAUAGAUAUCUACAUUAUUGUGGCUUUCUUUUGUUUGUGUAAUACAAACUGGAGAAUAAAGCGGGUAGUUUUCACAUACAGAUUAUCUCGCUACAAGUUGUAGUAUUAGAAGAUAUCAAAUCUUUCCUUUAUUU
This 220-nucleotide long non-coding RNA is filed under the name Nicotiana benthamiana. RNAcentral describes it as "long non-coding RNA (NBEN_LNC025581)". Lineage: Eukaryota; Viridiplantae; Streptophyta; Magnoliopsida; Solanales; Solanaceae. The record is from RNAcentral.